GUUCAUGUAUUUCAAUCUCUUCGCAGUUCAGGCAAAACUGUUUUGUCUGCCAAUCGUCUUAUGCAGAUCUAGAUCUAAGGUCAGCUGCUCAGAUGGAAAACAUUGUCAGUAUCUACAAAAAUAUGGAUGCCGCGUUUAGCACAAGCCGCUCUCAACCUUCUCUCAGUCUCAUGCUUCUGAUGAAAAGGAUCCUAUGACUCAAAGCCUUGAUUUAGCCAAUACAGUUGCGAAGAUGCAG
Papaver somniferum (opium poppy) is the source of this 238-nucleotide long non-coding RNA. RefSeq lists it as uncharacterized. The transcript is spliced from 3 exons. Lineage: Eukaryota; Viridiplantae; Streptophyta; Magnoliopsida; Ranunculales; Papaveraceae. The record is from RefSeq and is a predicted model, not a curated record.